GUGGUCCUUGUGGCCCUAGUGUCGAUUGCUCGAGCAAUUCAAAGUGCGUUCUUAAACUUUAAACUGAGUUUGAACUUCUUCUUGCUAGAGCUGCUACCGAUUUUUCAAACUACUUCAGUCACCUGGAGCAAGUCCGUAAUGAAAAAGAAACUCCGUCCCACCGGCGACCAGCAACAACGGCACAUUUACCCUAGGGACUCCCACG
Nematostella vectensis (starlet sea anemone) is the source of this 205-nucleotide long non-coding RNA. RefSeq lists it as uncharacterized. The transcript is spliced from 2 exons. Lineage: Eukaryota; Metazoa; Cnidaria; Anthozoa; Actiniaria; Edwardsiidae. The record is from RefSeq and is a predicted model, not a curated record.